CAUGCAGUCGACGGUAACAGGGAAGAAGCUUGCUUCCUUUGCUGACGAGUGGCGGACGGGUGAGUAAUGUCUGGGAACUGCCUGAUGGAGGGGGAUAACUACUGGAAACGGUAGCUAAUACCGCAUAACGUCGCAAGACCAAAGAGGGGGACCUUCGGGCCUCUUGCCAUCGGAUGUGCCCAGAUGGGAUUAGCUAGUAGGUGGGGUAACGGCUCACCUAGGCGACGAUCCCUAGCUGGUCUGAGAGGAUGACCAGCCACACUGGAACUGAGACACGGUCCAGACUCCUACGGGAGGCAGCAGUGGGGAAUAUUGCACAAUGGCGCAGCCUGAUGCAGCCAUGCCGCGUGUAUGAGAGGCUUCGGUGUAAGUACUUCAGCGGAGAGGAGUAAGUUAUACUUGCUCAUGACGUACCGCAAAAAGCCCGCUACUCGUGCAGCAGCGGGUAUACGAGGGGCAGCGUUAUCGGAUACUGCGUAGCGCCCCCGGGGUGUAGUAAAAUGUAACCCGCCCACUGACUGCUUCUAAAAUUGCAGUUGAGUCUUGAAAG
Molecule: ribosomal RNA, 550 nt
Filed under: bacterium amp-w-54
Lineage: Bacteria
Description: bacterial SSU rRNA
Rfam family: Bacterial small subunit ribosomal RNA (bases 1-467)
Source: RNAcentral